GAUGAACGCUGGCGGCGUGCCUAAUACAUGCAAGUCGAGCGAACGGACGAGAAGCUUGCUUCUCUGAUGUUAGCGGCGGACGGGUGAGUAACACGUGGAUAACCUACCUAUAAGACUGGGAUAACUUCGGGAAACCGGAGCUAAUACCGGAUAAUAUUUUGAACCGCAUGGUUCAAAAGUAAAAGACGGUCUUGCUGUCACUUAUAGAUGGAUCCGCGCUGCAUUAGCUAGUUGGUAAGGUAACGGCUUACCAAGGCAACGAUGCAUAGCCGACCUGAGAGGGUGAUCGGCCACACUGGAACUGAGACACGGUCCAGACUCCUACGGGAGGCAGCAGUAGGGAAUCUUCCGCAAUGGGCGAAAGCCUGACGGAGCAACGCCGCGUGAGUGAUGAAGGUCUUCGGAUCGUAAAACUCUGUUAUUAGGGAAGAACAUAUGUGUAAGUAACUGUGCACAUCUUGACGGUACCUAAUCAGAAAGCCACGGCUAACUGCGUG
RNAcentral lists this ribosomal RNA (497 nucleotides) under uncultured bacterium. RNAcentral describes it as "partial 16S ribosomal RNA". It matches the Rfam family "Bacterial small subunit ribosomal RNA", at positions 28 to 507 of the family's 1533-position model. The record is from RNAcentral.